This is a long non-coding RNA of Syngnathus acus (greater pipefish), 889 nucleotides long. RefSeq lists it as uncharacterized. The record is from RefSeq and is a predicted model, not a curated record. NCBI's taxonomy places the organism in Eukaryota, Metazoa, Chordata, Actinopteri, Syngnathiformes, Syngnathidae. The transcript is spliced from 3 exons.
GGGGCAUAAUUCAGUACGAUAAAGGUGGAAAAGGGAAUAGAAUUCUUGUCUUUUUGACAAAAGAGAUAAAUAGCUAGAAAAUGAUCCAUGAUUUAAAGGUAUCGUCAUGUGUUUCUUUUGUUUACCACUAGAGGGCGCCCGUGUUAGAAAGUUUUACUUUUAACCCUAUUAUGUCCUAGGUUAAAUGGAGCCAUUUCAAAGUAAGCCUUAUACAUACAGGUCAUUAUGACUAAACCUAACCCGUUAUCAUUAUCGUCACAUCAUUUCCCACCUCACUUCCUUCCAUACUUGGAUCAUGUUCCAUGCACAUGCUGCGUAGAUAUUGAUACCAGAUUGUGAAGGGUGUAAAUAUAAACCACCCUUCCACACCCCUUGAACAGGAUUUAAUGAUGGUUGCCUCUCGGUUACAGUACCAAGAGACUUACUGAACAAUUAUACCAUCCCCCGGAAUAUUCUCGUGUGUUGAUGCUGAUUGAUUGCAGGGUGUUGGAUAUGCGGGACCUUAAGACUGAAUGGAGGUCGAUGCCUGCUAAUGACCGAAAGUGAUGAGGAUCCAAUCUCAUUGGCAGAACUGCUUGGUCCUGGGCAGUAACCCAAGCUGGGCCAGAAAUAGUGUCCAUCCAUGGAGAGGAUGUCAAUACAGCCAAAGUUUGGACACAUCCUCUAAGAGCAGGCCGCUGCUUAGAUCUUCACACCAAACUUGUGGCAUGCACUGGCCGGGGUUGAUGACCGCGCAGGCCAGGGAUUUGUACUCAUCUGUGGGCUUGUACUGCCCCCAUGUGGCUACUACGCAUCACUGAUAACUGAGGUAGGUUUUAUUGAGGUCAUGCAGAUUUAUUAUGGUGACAGUAAAAAAACUGAACUAGUGCCCUUUUGCAAAAAGUCCUUU